RNAcentral lists this small nucleolar RNA (138 nucleotides) under Ornithorhynchus anatinus (platypus). Lineage: Eukaryota; Metazoa; Chordata; Mammalia; Monotremata; Ornithorhynchidae. The record is from RNAcentral.
CCCCUCUCAGGGUCGCACCUGGAGAGUUUCCAGUACUCUACCGGUCUUGACUGUGGCAGGGAAAGUCAAGCAGAGGCCUGUCCAGUCCAUUCCUAGCUUGGGCAGGGGCUAGCGAGUGGAAGGCCAUCUGCUACAAUU